This 106-nucleotide ribosomal RNA is filed under the name Jaculus jaculus (lesser Egyptian jerboa). The record is from RNAcentral. Lineage: Eukaryota; Metazoa; Chordata; Mammalia; Rodentia; Dipodidae.
GUUGAUUUUAAUAACACUCUGGACAUGUUUGAUCUCUUCUGAUAUCAGAAGCUAAGCAAAGCCAGACCUGGUUGGUACUUGUUUGGGGCGGGGGGAGCAGUGGAUU